This 723-nucleotide ribosomal RNA is filed under the name Salmonella enterica. Its description in RNAcentral is "partial 23S ribosomal RNA". It matches the Rfam family "Bacterial large subunit ribosomal RNA", at positions 466 to 1190 of the family's 2925-position model. Lineage: Bacteria; Pseudomonadati; Pseudomonadota; Gammaproteobacteria; Enterobacterales; Enterobacteriaceae. The record is from RNAcentral.
CUAAAUACUCCUGACUGACCGAUAGUGAACCAGUACCGUGAGGGAAAGGCGAAAAGAACCCCGGCGAGGGGAGUGAAAAAGAACCUGAAACCGUGUACGUACAAGCAGUGGGAGCACCCUUCGGGGUGUGACUGCGUACCUUUUGUAUAAUGGGUCAGCGACUUAUAUUCUGUAGCAAGGUUAACCGUAUAGGGGAGCCGGAGGGAAACCGAGUCUUAAUUGGGCGUUAAGUUGCAGGGUAUAGACCCGAAACCCGGUGAUCUAGCCAUGGGCAGGUUGAAGGUUGGGUAACACUAACUGGAGGACCGAACCGACUAAUGUUGAAAAAUUAGCGGAUGACCUGUGGCUGGGGGUGAAAGGCCAAUCAAACCGGGAGAUAGCUGGUUCUCCCCGAAAGCUAUUUAGGUAGCGCCUCGUGAAUUCAUCUCCGGGGGUAGAGCACUGUUUCGGCUAGGGGGCCAUCCCGGCUUACCAACCCGAUGCAAACUGCGAAUACCGGAGAAUGUUAUCACGGGAGACACACGGCGGGUGCUAACGUCCGUCGUGAAGAGGGAAACAACCCAGACCGCCAGCUAAGGUCCCAAAGUCAUGGUUAAGUGGGAAACGAUGUGGGAAGGCCCAGACAGCCAGGAUGUUGGCUUAGAAGCAGCCAUCAUUUAAAGAAAGCGUAAUAGCUCACUGGUCGAGUCGGCCUGCGCGGAAGAUGUAACGGGGCUAAACCAU